This 833-nucleotide ribosomal RNA is filed under the name uncultured bacterium. RNAcentral describes it as "bacterial SSU rRNA". It matches the Rfam family "Bacterial small subunit ribosomal RNA", at positions 9 to 835 of the family's 1533-position model. The record is from RNAcentral.
GAGUUUGAUCAUGGCUCAGAGUGAACGCUGGCGGCAUGGUUAAGACAUGCAAGUCGAACGAAAAGCAAAUCUUCGGAUUUGUGGAAAGUGGCGAACGGGUGCGUAACACGUGAGCAACCUGCCCUAAAGUGCGGAACAGCCUGUCGAAAGAUGGAUUAAUGCCGCAUGUGGCUCUUCUUCGCAUGAAGAAGUAGCUAAAGCUUGUAAUGGCGCUUUAGGAUGGGCUCGCGGCCUAUCAGCUUGUUGGUAAGGUAACGGCUUACCAAGGCUAAGACGGGUAGCUGGUCUGAGAGGAUGAUCAGCCACACCGGGACUGAGACACGGCCCGGACACCUACGGGUGGCAGCAGUUUCGAAUCAUUCACAAUGGGCGAAAGCCUGAUGAUGCAAUGCCGCGUGGAGGAUGAAGGCCUUAGGGUCGUAAACUCCUGUCAUUGGGGAGCAACAAAUAGGUUCAUAGCCUAUCAUGAGUUAACCCAAAGAGGAAGAGGUGGCUAACUCCGUGCCAGCAGCCGCGGUAAUACGGAGACCUCGAGCGUUACUCGGAUUCACUGGGCGUAAAGGGUGAGUAGGUGGCCAAGUAUGUCAGGUGUGAAAUCCCGGGGCUUAACCCCGGAACUGCGCCUGAAACUACUUGGCUAGAGUCUCGGAGAGGAUAGUGGAAUUCCAAGUGUAGCGGUGAAAUGCGUAGAUAUUUGGAGGAACACCAGCGGCGAAGGCGACUAUCUGGACGAGUACUGACGCUCAAUCACGAAAGCGUGGGGUAGCGAAAGGGAUUAGAUACCCCUGUAGUCCACGCCGUAAACGUUGCACACUAAGUUUCGGAGGAUUCGA